RNAcentral lists this ribosomal RNA (497 nucleotides) under uncultured bacterium. RNAcentral's name for it is "partial 16S ribosomal RNA". It matches the Rfam family "Bacterial small subunit ribosomal RNA", at positions 28 to 507 of the family's 1533-position model. The record is from RNAcentral.
GACGAACGCUGGCGGCGUGCCUAAUACAUGCAAGUAGAACGCUGAAGAGAGGAGCUUGCUCUUCUUGGAUGAGUUGCGAACGGGUGAGUAACGCGUAGGUAACCUGCCUUGUAGCGGGGGAUAACUAUUGGAAACGAUAGCUAAUACCGCAUAACAAUGGAUGACACAUGUCAUUUAUUUGAAAGGGGCAAUUGCUCCACUACAAGAUGGACCUGCGUUGUAUUAGCUAGUAGGUGAGGUAACGGCUCACCUAGGCGACGAUACAUAGCCGACCUGAGAGGGUGAUCGGCCACACUGGGACUGAGACACGGCCCAGACUCCUACGGGGGGCAGCAGUAGGGAAUCUUCGGCAAUAGGGGCAACCCUGACCGAGCAACGCCGCGUGAGUGAAGAAGGUUUUCGGAUCGUAAAGCUCUGUUGUAAGUCAAGAACGAGUGUGAGAGUGGAAAGUUCACACUGUGACGGUAGCUUACCAGAAAGGGACGGCUAACUACGUG